GGGCCCGCACAAGCGGAGGAACAUGUGGUUUAAUUCGAUGAUACGCGAGGAACCUUACCCGGGCUCGAACGGCUAUAGAAUAACGAUGAAAGUUGUUAGCCAGCAAUGGCUGUAGUCGAGGUGCUGCAUGGUUGUCGUCAGCUCGUGCCGUGAGGUGUCGGCUUAAGUGCCAUAACGAGCGCAACCCCUACCGGUAGUUACCAGCAGGUAAAGCUGGGGACUCUGCCGGGACUGCCACCGCAAGGUGCGAGGAAGGUGGGGAUGACGUCAAAUCAGCACGGCCCUUACGUCCGGGGCGACACUUACGUGUUACAAUGGGGGGGACAAAGGGCAGCUACCCGGCGACGGGAUGCCAAUCUCCAAACCCUCUCCCAGUUCGGACUGGAGUCUGCAACCCGACUCCACGAAGCUGGAUUCGCUAGUAAUCGCGCAUCAGCCAUGGCGCGGUGAAUACG
RNAcentral lists this ribosomal RNA (455 nucleotides) under uncultured Bacteroidales bacterium. Its description in RNAcentral is "bacterial SSU rRNA". It matches the Rfam family "Bacterial small subunit ribosomal RNA", at positions 917 to 1370 of the family's 1533-position model. Lineage: Bacteria; Pseudomonadati; Bacteroidota; Bacteroidia; Bacteroidales. The record is from RNAcentral.